Molecule: long non-coding RNA, 705 nt
Organism: Carcharodon carcharias (great white shark)
Lineage: Eukaryota; Metazoa; Chordata; Chondrichthyes; Lamniformes; Lamnidae
Exons: 3
Source: RefSeq, a predicted model, not a curated record
UCACGCCCGCCCGACAACCUGAAAAUCCUGACCUUGGAGUUUAGAAGAAUCGGAACAUAAACAAUUCUGAAGAGGCUUAGCGUGGUAGAUGUUGUAAAAAAAAUUCCUCUGGCUAGAACACAGCAUCACAGUCUCAGAACAAGGGGUCAACCAUUUAGUGCUAGGGACAAGAUCACCCAUAACAACAGGGAGAGACCCCCGACCAGAUGGGGGUGCCAGAGCUCAGGCCACUCACCCCCUACAUGGAGCAGGUGGAACUACUGGCUGGAGAAGACAGGGACCAUUUCUGCACCGACGGUGAGAUCUGCAUCUCCCAACAAGCCAGUGAGGCCCAUCCACUAGUCUUUGCCCACCUGUUGGAACUGAAUACACAAGAAAAGGGGUUAAAAAACCAGCUGCAAACCUGAUCAAUGUGUUCUGGUUCUGGAGUGCUAGUGGGUGCUGUGAGGGUCACAGCAGAACAGCAACUAGGCAUCCCUGCAGCUUGCAGGUAAAAGUCUCUAUUCUUCCUCAGCAAAACCACAGUCAAAAAAGAAACAGGACAACUCCUUCAGCUAACCUGAAAAACCAAGUGUCUCCAAACCAACUGCUCAAUUGGCAAAGUCAGCUCUACCAGAAUCAGCCAACUUAACGGCCAUAAGGUUUCGCCAUCUACUCCUCAUGGACAAACCAAAGACUUAUUCGUAUAUCUUUUUUAACUUUUAU